RNAcentral lists this transfer RNA (73 nucleotides) under Trichonephila inaurata madagascariensis. It matches the Rfam family "tRNA". Rfam says of the family: Transfer RNA (tRNA) molecules are approximately 80 nucleotides in length. Their secondary structure includes four short double-helical elements and three loops (D, anti-codon, and T loops). The record is from Rfam by way of RNAcentral. Lineage: Eukaryota; Metazoa; Arthropoda; Arachnida; Araneae; Nephilidae.
AUCCCUGUAGCGCAAUGAAUAGCGCAUCGGACUUCUCAUCCAAAGGUCGUGGGUUCGAAUCCCACCUGGAAUA